GACGAACGCUGGCGGCGUGCUUAACACAUGCAAGUCGAGCGGAAAGGUCCUUCGGGGUACUCGAGCGGCGAACGGGUGAGUAACACGUGAGUAACCUGCCCCAGACUUUGGGAUAACCCUCGGAAACGGGGGCUAAUACCGGAUACGACACAGCUUCGCAUGGGGUCUGUGUGGAAAGUUUUUCGGUUUGGGAUGGGCUCGCGGCCUAUCAGCUUGUUGGUGGGGUGAUGGCCUACCAAGGCGACGACGGGUAGCCGGCCUGAGAGGGCGACCGGCCACACUGGGACUGAGACACGGCCCAGACUCCUACGGGAGGCAGCAGUGGGGAAUAUUGCACAAUGGGCGGAAGCCUGAUGCAGCGACGCCGCGUGAGGGAUGACGGCCUUCGGGUUGUAAACCUCUUUCAGCAGGGACGAAGCGUAAGUGACGGUACCUGCAGAAGAAGCGCCGGCCAACUACGUG
RNAcentral lists this ribosomal RNA (462 nucleotides) under uncultured bacterium. RNAcentral describes it as "partial 16S ribosomal RNA". It matches the Rfam family "Bacterial small subunit ribosomal RNA", at positions 28 to 507 of the family's 1533-position model. The record is from RNAcentral.